Molecule: transfer RNA, 67 nt
Filed under: Ochrophlegma sp. TAMUIC IGC OR279
Lineage: Eukaryota; Metazoa; Arthropoda; Insecta; Orthoptera; Pyrgomorphidae
Description: tRNA-Ile
Source: RNAcentral
AAUGAAGUGCCUGAAUAAAGGAUUAUCUUGAUAGGAUAAAUAAUGUAUUUUCAAUAUACCUUCAUUA